This is a non-coding RNA of Gymnothorax javanicus (giant moray), 74 nucleotides long. Lineage: Eukaryota; Metazoa; Chordata; Actinopteri; Anguilliformes; Muraenidae. The record is from the annotation of a GenBank genome assembly.
CCUAUGGGAGUGCAGUGGUUUAAUAGACUUGACUUCAGAUCAAAAGGUCCUGAGUUCAAGCCCUGGCCAUGGCC